Non-coding RNA from Phrynosoma platyrhinos (Desert horned lizard), 72 nucleotides. NCBI's taxonomy places the organism in Eukaryota, Metazoa, Chordata, Lepidosauria, Squamata, Phrynosomatidae. The record is from the annotation of a GenBank genome assembly.
GCCAGUGUGGCAUAGCGGUAUGAGCACUGGACUAGGACUCUGGAGCCUAGGAUUCGAAUCCCCGCUUGGCCA